UACGUAGGGUGCGAGCGUUAAUCGGAAUUACUGGGCGUAAAGCGUGCGCAGGCGGUGAUGUAAGACAGUUGUGAAAUCCCCGGGCUCAACCUGGGAACUGCAUCUGUGACUGCAUCGCUGGAGUGCGGCAGAGGGGGAUGGAAUUCCGCGUGUAGCAGUGAAAUGCGUAGAGAUCGGCAGGAACACCCAGGGGGAAACCAGUCGACUGGGCAUCUACUGACGCUGAGGUGCGAGAGCGUGGGGAGCGAACCGG
RNAcentral lists this ribosomal RNA (253 nucleotides) under uncultured bacterium. RNAcentral's name for it is "partial 16S ribosomal RNA". It matches the Rfam family "Bacterial small subunit ribosomal RNA", at positions 524 to 776 of the family's 1533-position model. The record is from RNAcentral.